This is a long non-coding RNA of Cyprinus carpio carpio, 2154 nucleotides long. Lineage: Eukaryota; Metazoa; Chordata; Actinopteri; Cypriniformes; Cyprinidae. The record is from Ensembl.
AGCCACCUUCAAGUGUAGAUGCAGAAGGAGAUCAAUGCACACCACAUCGCAACAGACAAGACAAGCCCAAAGAAUCUUUCCACCAUUUAAAAAUAUCAUGGAUCAGACUCCAGACAUUUCCACAGACCACAAGAGAGAGAAGCAGUCAAAAGCAUCAUCGAACAUCCCAAAGAAUCUGCCAUUGUUUGUAAUUCUAAUGCAUGAUUUUUUACAAAAAAUUCCUGUUUUCAGCUCUUUCCCUAUUAGUCUUUCGUUAAUUGGAUUUGAGGAGUUGAUGGAGCUAAAAGUUUUUGUAUGCCCAUGCAGACAUGAUCUGAAUAUAUGGCUAACAACAUCUAUUUUACUUAGUCCUCCUUUUUUUAUUUUUGCUUUAAUGUAUUUUGUUUUAAGACCUUUUAAACAUGAUUGGUUUCAUUGUUCUCAAAGAGAGAAUGAUACUCGGCAGAACUGGCCUAAAGCUUUAGCACAUUGUCUGAUGCCAUCUGCAAUGUGGAUCAUCAUCUUGUUACUUGAUGGUGAUUAUAUUGCUUGUGCCAUGACAGACUGGAAGGGAGUUUAUGUGUUUGAUGUUGAGCUCAACAGGUCGUGGUGUAAACCCAAUGAAGACAUGCGAAAUGCGGCAGAGCUCCGAGAUUUGAAUCGCCAGUAUAUUUAUAAAUCACAGGUUCUGCUACAAUGGGACAGGAACUGCAAGGGUCAGGGAGUUCUGCUACAAUGGGACAGGAACUGCAAGGGUCAGGGAGUUCUGCUACAAUGGGACAGGAACUGCAAGGGUCAGGGAGUUCUGCUACAAUGGGACAGGAACUGCAAGGGUUGGGGAGUUCUGCUACAAUGGGACAGGAACUGCAAGGGUUGGGGAGUUCUGCUACAAUGGGACAGGAACUGCACUGGUUAGGGAGUUCUGCUACAAUGGGACAGGAACUGCAAGGGUUAGGGAGUUCUGCUACAAUGGGACAGGAACUGCAAGGGUCAGGGAGUUCUGCUACAAUGGGACAGGAACUGCAAGGGUCAGGGAGUUCUGCUACAAUGGGACAGGAACUGCAAGGGUUGGGGAGUUCUGCUACAAUGGGACAGGAACUGCAAGGGUUGGGGAGUUCUGCUACAAUGGGACAGGAACUGCAAGGGUUAGGGAGUUCUGCUACAAUGGGACAGCAAGAUUCAAGGAGUUCUGCCUCAGUGAGACAUAAACUACAAGGGGCAGAGGGUUUUGCUGCAGUGUCAUGGCAAUUAGAGAGUUCUGAUAUAGUGCGACAAGGAAAUAAAGGGUUAGGAAGAUCUGCUCUAGCAGGACAUGGACAACAAAUGUCAGGGAGUUCUGCUCCAAUGGGUUCUAUUACAAAAACACCGGAACGGCAAAUGCUACUGCAAUUUCCAUAGCAACUUAAAAAAAAAAAAAAAGUGAAAGGCCAUCUACUAACAACAGACCAGUUAUUAACAAAUUGAUUUCUCUCUAUCUUUAUUAAACAAAACUAUCCUAUGCCAUCAGAUACCAAAUGUGACACACAAGUACAUUAAACUGUUUUGUCAGAAAGAAGAAAGGAUGAUCAAGAUCCUUCAGAAGCUGCAGAAACUUUGCAUAUUUGAAUAUUUAUAUUUUGUAAUGAAUUAUAUUAGAUAAACUUCUGAACUUCAGAUAAAUAUAGGCAGAUAUUUUGCAUGUGCAAAUUUUUUAAAGCACGUCUCUUUUAAUGGGAAAAUACCUUUUUGUGAAAUGAUUUGCUUGGAAUAGUCUGUUUCUGUAAAGCAUGUUUCGAUGGAGGGGGGAAAAAAAAGGAUAGGGCCGGUUCUAGACAUUUGGAGGCCCAAGGCAAAAUUCAUGUUGGAGCGCCCCCACCCACAAUAAAAAGCACUUGAAACAAAUAUGAUUCCUAACCUUUGUAUUUAUACAACAUUUGCAUUGAUGCAUUGCAUAAACUUACUUUUACGUACAUUUUUACGUAUACAGUACAAUUCAAAUGUAGCACCCUCUUCCUCCUCAGGGUGGCUUACCUGAGCACUUAGGAUGGGCACUUGGGUUCGAUAUGGGACAGUCUCUCGACUAAAUAAACUUAGGUCCCUCUCCUCAAUCACUGAUUAGAAAGUAAAGAUGUUAACUUUUAAAAUUGCCCUUAUAGGUCAAAUUAAAUCAACCCAAUGAAACCACUGAAACCCUUU